GCAAGUCGAACGAGAAAGCUUCCUUCGGGAAGUGAUUAAAGUGGCGCACGGGUGAGGAACACGUGGGUAAUCUACCCUACCGGCGCGGGACAACAGUUCGAAAGGACUGCUAAUACCGCAUACGUCGGUGAGGUCUUCGGAUCUUACCGGGAAAGGAUGGCCUCUUCUUGAAAGCUAUCGCCGGAGGAGGAGCCCGCGUCCCAUCAGCUUGAUGGUGAGGUAAUGGCUCACCAUGGCUUAGACGGGUAGCUGGUCUGAGAGGAUGAUC
RNAcentral lists this ribosomal RNA (268 nucleotides) under uncultured bacterium. RNAcentral's name for it is "partial 16S ribosomal RNA". It matches the Rfam family "Bacterial small subunit ribosomal RNA", at positions 57 to 305 of the family's 1533-position model. The record is from RNAcentral.